Molecule: long non-coding RNA, 398 nt
Organism: Lycium ferocissimum
Lineage: Eukaryota; Viridiplantae; Streptophyta; Magnoliopsida; Solanales; Solanaceae
Exons: 2
Source: RefSeq, a predicted model, not a curated record
GACAGAUUCAUGAAUAAACAAUUAAAACACACAACAAGUUUCCUGCCACGGGACUAAUGAUAAUGGAGCAAUGUGUAAUCCUGCAUGGAGUCAUAUAGUCCGUAUUGAAAAAUAAUUACAACCUUCACAUUUGUGUUCAAUCCAUACUCAAGUGCAAGUGGUAAACGGAAAUUGUCCAAAAAUGUUACUUUUGAUGCCUAUCAGAGGUGUAAAUAAUAAGUCCUUAGGUAAAGAGCACCGAAGCAUCUUUGCACCAGUAACUUAGGUCAAGAAGUUUAAUCCCAGUAUGUUCAGAAACUGAAAUGAAAAUCAAAUCUAAAUGGUUCUGCAGCUCUGACAAAUCUCUCAGGUGACCAUACCACCAAAUAUUGGAGCCUAAGUGCCAGAAAUUCAGAAAA